This 263-nucleotide long non-coding RNA is filed under the name Elaeis guineensis (African oil palm). RNAcentral's name for it is "long non-coding RNA (EGUI_LNC008561)". The record is from RNAcentral. Lineage: Eukaryota; Viridiplantae; Streptophyta; Magnoliopsida; Arecales; Arecaceae.
AGGGUUCUAGAUAUGUUCCUACCACAUCGAUGGAUAACCUUGUAAUUUCAAGGCUAUGGUCUUCACCUUCUUAUUGUCGAGGACAUAUAUGGCUUCACAGACACUGUUGAUGGUGAUGAUCCAGUCAAGAAAGUACCCGAGAUUGAGCCUCCUAUGAAUUUGAAGAAGCUUUGCUUUGACACCAAGGAGCCUAUCAUGAUCUCACAACACUCCCUUAUUAAGUAGCGGAAGAUGAAUUGGUCCUUGAUUUGGAGUAUGGUGGU